UUGGCCUCCUGGAAUUUGGAUUCUCUUU
Molecule: non-coding RNA, 28 nt
Filed under: Homo sapiens (human)
Lineage: Eukaryota; Metazoa; Chordata; Mammalia; Primates; Hominidae
Source: RNAcentral